CUGCCUACGGGAGGCAGCAGUGAGGAAUAUUGGUCAAUGGGAGAGAUCCUGAACCAGCCAAGCCGCGUGAGGGAAGACGGCCCUAUGGGUCGUAAACCUCUUUUGUCAGGGAGCAAAGGCGUCCACGUGUGGACGAGAGGAGAGUACCUGAAGAAAAAGCAUCGGCUAACUCCGUGCCAGCAGCCGCGGUAAUACGGAGGAUGCGAGCGUUAUCCGGAUUUAUUGGGUUUAAAGGGUGCGUAGGCGGAGUGUCAAGUCAGCGGUAAAAUUUCGGGGCUCAACCCCGUCGUGCCGUUGAAACUGAC
This 305-nucleotide ribosomal RNA is filed under the name uncultured bacterium. RNAcentral describes it as "bacterial SSU rRNA". It matches the Rfam family "Bacterial small subunit ribosomal RNA", at positions 335 to 637 of the family's 1533-position model. The record is from RNAcentral.